GUUAAACUCCUUCCCCUACUA
Molecule: transfer RNA, 21 nt
Filed under: Platysteira cyanea (brown-throated wattle-eye)
Lineage: Eukaryota; Metazoa; Chordata; Aves; Passeriformes
Description: partial tRNA-Met
Source: RNAcentral